GGAUGGUUAGAUUAAAUUUUGCCCUCUAUAUCUCCUUUUCGGACUCUAGCCUAAACAUGUGAAGUUUCUAAAUAUAAAAAUUUAAAAUAAAUAAAAAAAAUUAUUAAUAGACUUAUCUGUUAUGAUGGCUGUAACAACGAGCCCAGCUGAUCAUGCGAUGCGGAUUUUAGAGAAUCUUAACGACCGUAUUAUGGAUGGCAUCUCAGAAGCUCUAAGGUUGCUGGCCCCAAAGCCUCUACACGACCUCCUCCACAUG
Molecule: long non-coding RNA, 256 nt
Filed under: Elaeis guineensis (African oil palm)
Lineage: Eukaryota; Viridiplantae; Streptophyta; Magnoliopsida; Arecales; Arecaceae
Description: long non-coding RNA (EGUI_LNC026022)
Source: RNAcentral